UAGCUGUUAGAUUAACGGUAAAUCAUGGAUCUUACACGUCUAGGUUAAUGGUUCGAGUCCAUUACAGCUAA
RNAcentral lists this transfer RNA (71 nucleotides) under Candida tropicalis. Its description in RNAcentral is "tRNA-Val". It matches the Rfam family "tRNA". Rfam says of the family: Transfer RNA (tRNA) molecules are approximately 80 nucleotides in length. Lineage: Eukaryota; Fungi; Ascomycota; Pichiomycetes; Serinales; Debaryomycetaceae. The record is from RNAcentral. RNAcentral also lists the same sequence under 1 other name.